AAUAUUGCACAAUGGGCGCAAGCCUGAUGCAGCCAUGCCGCGUGUAUGAAGAAGGCCUUCGGGUUGUAAAGUACUUUCAGCAGUGAGGAAGGUGGGUAUGUUAAUAGCAUACUCAUUUGACGUUAGCUGCAGAAGAAGCACCGGCUAACUCCGUGCCAGCAGCCGCGGUAAUACGGAGGGUGCGAGCGUUAAUCGGAAUUACUGGGCGUAAAGCGCAUGCAGGUGGUUUGUUAAGUCAGAUGUGAAAGCCCGGGGCUCAACCUCGGAAUUGCAUUUGAAACUGGCAAAACUAGAGUACUGUAGAGGGGGUAGAAUUUCAGGUGUAGCGGUGAAAUGCGUAGAGAUCUGAAGGAAUACCGGUGGCGAAGGCGGCCCCCUGGACAGAUACUGACACUCAGAUGCGAAAGCGUGGGGAGCAAACAGGAUUAGAUACCCUGGUAG
Molecule: ribosomal RNA, 441 nt
Filed under: uncultured bacterium
Lineage: Bacteria
Description: bacterial SSU rRNA
Rfam family: Bacterial small subunit ribosomal RNA
Source: RNAcentral